This 292-nucleotide ribosomal RNA is filed under the name uncultured bacterium. RNAcentral's name for it is "partial 16S ribosomal RNA". It matches the Rfam family "Bacterial small subunit ribosomal RNA", at positions 505 to 796 of the family's 1533-position model. The record is from RNAcentral.
GUGUCAGCAGCCGCGGUAACACGAACCGUACGAACGUUAUUCGGAAUUACUGGGCUUAAAGGGUUUGUAGGCGGCCAUGUAAGUCAGGUGUGAAAUCCCUCGGCUCAACCGAGGAACGGCGCUUGAUACUGCAUGGCUUGAGGGAGACAGGGGUAAGCGGAACUGAUGGUGGAGCGGUGAAAUGCGUUGAUAUCAUCAGGAACACCGGUGGCGAAAGCGGCUUACUGGGUCUCUUCUGACGCUGAGGAACGAAAGCUAGGGUAGCGAACGGGAUUAGAAACCCUGGUAGUCC